CCUACGGGUGGCAGCAGUGGGGAAUAUUGGGCAAUGGGCGCAAGCCUGACCCAGCAACGCCGCGUGAAGGAAGAAGGCUUUCGGGUUGUAAACUUCUUUUGUCAGGGAAGAGUAGAAGACGGUACCUGACGAAUAAGCCACGGCUAACUACGUGCCAGCAGCCGCGGUAAUACGUAGGUGGCAAGCGUUGUCCGGAUUUACUGGGUGUAAAGGGCGUGUAGCCGGGUUGACAAGUCAGAUGUGAAAUCCUGCGGCUUAACCGAAGAACUGCAUUGGAAAAUGUGGAUCUUGAGUACUGGAGAGUCGGACGGAAUUCCUAGUGUAGCGGUGAAAUGCGUAGAUAUUAGGAGGCACACCAGUGGCGAAGGCGGUCUGCUGGACAGCAACUGACGGUGAGGCGCGAAAGCGUGGGGAGCAAACAGGAUUAGAUACCCCUGUAGUC
RNAcentral lists this ribosomal RNA (442 nucleotides) under uncultured bacterium. RNAcentral describes it as "partial 16S ribosomal RNA". It matches the Rfam family "Bacterial small subunit ribosomal RNA", at positions 338 to 795 of the family's 1533-position model. The record is from RNAcentral.